This is a long non-coding RNA of Pungitius pungitius (ninespine stickleback), 1218 nucleotides long. RefSeq lists it as uncharacterized. The record is from RefSeq and is a predicted model, not a curated record. The transcript is spliced from 6 exons. Lineage: Eukaryota; Metazoa; Chordata; Actinopteri; Perciformes; Gasterosteidae.
AUUCUAGUCAUGGAGAGAUUGGCCUGCCACCUGAUGCAAAUGUUAUAUACAAGGAUGCAACAGGGACAGAAGUUGAUGGAGAAAUAUUCAGCGAACUCGUUGGACAAGGCAAUGUGGUCCUGACAGUUUUCUCGGAUCAGGAAUUCUCUGAUCUCUCCUUGUCUUCUGAGACGUCUGACUCAAGCUUCAGCUCAAGUGCAUCAACUAUAAUCCUAGAUGUUCCUAACAAGAGACAAAGAAUUGAGGAUACACGUGACGCUGUGUCUGCUAAACAGUUGAUAGAGGCUGUGCUAAGAGGCAAGUCCGGAGGUGAAGAAGUACUACAGGAGUACCAAACAACAGAAACCCUAACAGAUGCUGCAAGAAGACAAAUGGUUAAUAUCCUGGUGGCUCACAUGAUUGACAAUCAUGGGCACUGCCCCACUAAAACAAUCAGAGAAGAUUAUGCAUGUGGGAUAGUGAUGCUGUUCCCUUCCCUCAAGGAUCCAUACUCCAAGAAGGGCUAUGAACACUUCUAUGAUGCUGCAAGCAGCACAGGAUACAUUUCUUGGCGUCUGAAAACAUUCCAGAGGAAGAUUCGUCAAGGAUCUGCACAGCCACCAAAUAGCCAAAUUGACUUUUCUCCAGGAGGCCCAAAUUGCCAAAGGACUGUUAAUGUUGAAGGGCAGCUUGAUGGUGAUGCUUGCCAAGAGGCCAUGUCUUUGCUUAACCAUGCAGCUGACAAUUCCCUGAUUUUCCAGAAGAUGAGAGACACCUUUCAGCAUCGUCAGAAGCUUGUUAAUGACCCAGGCAGAAGUGUUGAUAUACUCUCCAGCUUCCCAAGAUUCCUGGAUGCAAAAGGGUUGGUAAGUUUGGGAUGAGAUGUUUGGAGUGGCUUGAUAUUUGAAAGUAUUUCCAGUAGUAGUAGAAGUUGUUUAAUAUCUUCUUUCCUAAAGGUGGACCAAGACUUCACUCUCCUAUUUGACGAAGACACAUCCUCCAGGCUUCUUCAGAAAUGGGAUUUGGUCUUCAAGACAAAUGUCAUUAAAGAGGCUAAGCGACUCACCUCAACACCAGAGUUGAGUCGCUUGGUGCAGUCAGCAGAAAGUCCCCCAGGAAGUGAUCUUGAUGAGGCAACAACCUACGACCAAGAAAUGGCCUCCCUGUUGUUGCUGUUACAUCUCCUUCCACCACCUUCAGGGGGACUGAAGUCUCCAAAAAUUAGUGCAUGUGAUGAAG